This is an RNA transcript of Rhinopithecus roxellana (golden snub-nosed monkey), 2263 nucleotides long. It is a transcript of the gene named REST corepressor 1-like, with no coding region annotated. The transcript is spliced from 8 exons. NCBI's taxonomy places the organism in Eukaryota, Metazoa, Chordata, Mammalia, Primates, Cercopithecidae. The record is from RefSeq and is a predicted model, not a curated record.
GCUCUUGGGAUGCUCUUCUGGCAUAAACAUAAUAUCGAAAAGUCGUUGGCUGAUUUGCCCAACUUUACCCCUUUCCCAGAUGAGUGGACUGUGGAAGAUAAAGUCUUAUUUGAGCAAGCCUUUAGUUUUCAUGGGAAAACUUUUCAUAGAAUCCAACAAAUGCUGCCUGAUAAAUCUAUAGCAAGUCUGGUAAAAUUUUACUAUUCUUGGAAAGAAGACAAGGACUAAAACUAGUGUGAUGGAUCGCCAUGCCCGGAAACAAAACGGGAGCGGGAGGAGAGUGAGGAUGAACUGGAAGAAACAAAUGGAAAUAAUCCCAUUGACAUUGAGGUUGAUCAAAACAAGGAAAGCAAAAAGGAGGUGCCCCCUACUGAGACAGUUCCUCAGGUCAAAAAGAAAAACAUAGCACACAAGCUAAACAUAGCGCAAAAGGAAACCUCCUAAAGGAAUGUUUCUUUCUCAAGAAGAUGUGGAGGCUGUUUCUGCCAAUGCCACUGCUGCUACCACGUGUGCUGAGGACAACUAGACAUGGAACUAGUUUCAGUCAAACGACAGAUCCAGAAUAUUAAACAGACAAACAGUGCUCUCAAAGAAAAACUUGAUGGUGGAAUAGAACCUUACCGACUUCCAGAGGUCAUUCAGAAAUGUAAUGCACGUUGGACUACAGAAGAGCAGCUUCUCGCCGUACAAGCCAUCAGAAAAUACGGCCGAGAUUUUCAGGCAAUCUCAGAUGUGAUUGGGAACAAAUCAGUGGUACAAGUGAAAAACUUUUUUGUAAAUUAUCGACGCCGCUUCAACAUAGAUGAAGUUUUACAAGAAUGGGAGGCAGAACAUGGUAAAGAAGAGACCAACGGGCCUAGUAACCAGAAGCCUGUGAAGUCCCCAGAUAAUUCCAUUAAGAUGCCUGAAGAGGAAGACGAGGCUCCUUCUGUUCUGGAUGUCAGAUAUGCAUCUGCCUCCUGAGAAACUCUGGUGGCUUUGAACACUUGGUGUGGACUACUGUGUUAUCCGGGAUAUCAGGUAUUACGAGACAUCACCUAGCCAUCUGCAUCACAUCUCUCUGGACAAGCAGCUAUUACCAAAAAAGGCAUAUACUUCCAGUCCUGUGCUCCAUCUGCCUUAAUUCUUUGCUCGCUCCUCCAUGUUGGCGCCACUUCCCAGAGAGCUCCACUGCAUCCCACACUUUGCCCAUGUGCUGGGGAAAUCUCAUGGCCUGCACAUCUCGUGUGACUCUGGGAACCGCCUCCCCCGCCGGAGCCCCCGAGCCCCACCAAUGGCAGCUCUUCCCAGUCAGCAGCUUCAGAGCAGGCAGUCUCCUUGGAAGGCCCGACUCUGUUCCUGCAUGGCCUGCAAUUUCUACUUUGUGCAUAGAGUAAUUUUCAGAGUAACCGCGACCCUGUUGGCCUUCUAGAAAGUUUGUCUUUUUCUUUUCUGAGACAACCACCUAAGUGAUAAUAUGCUUUUUUGGAAAUCAAUAUAUAUUGCCGGACUGCAUCAUAACCUUUAUCAUGCCAAGCAUCCUGAUGCAGCUCACAUUUCCCUAAACAUGGGUUAUAGGUAUGGUUUAUAAAUUGAGUUGGCUUAAACCUCUCCCUUCUCCCUUCCCAAGUGUCACAAAGCUCAUUUACUGCAACUGUCAUUGGACACUGUAGCUUAAAGGGAAUGUGGACCUCAGUGCUUUCUGCCUUCAACUUUUCAGCAUUGUGACCCCAGGGUGGGUGCCACCCCAUCUUUUCCUGCCCCCCCCCCCACCUCCAAGAGGUUCGGCCCAUAUCACUGUACCUGGUGCUUGUACAUUUGGAAUUGGUGCCUUCUCCUUUUGGCAACCAUGGUAUCAAUCCUUUUUCUCUUUUAGUGUCUUAUUUCUUCUUUCAAGUUAUUUGCUAGCCAAAGAUGACAUCACUGAGAUUAGGAGACAGGGGAGAGCUUGCUGCAGAUUCUGACAGUGCAGAUUUUAAAUGUCAGGAUAUUAGGAUAGCUGGCGCUGGUUUAUGAAAGCUGCACGUUGUCCCACGUUCUCUCAGUGUGCCUGGCCCUUUAAGUGGCACACUGUAUGUCAGUUUGUGUCCUUCAUGUGCCGAUGUGAUUACACAAACACCAUCCACUCUCUUUUCAUAUCAGAGUACAGGACAGAGAAGUGAUCAAUGUGUUGGUCUAGUGAGACUGAGAUGAAAAGAAAUAACCUACAAAGUGGUCUGUAAUGCCUUUUGGUUGGACUGGGAACAAGUAAAAAUUUCUAAUAAACAUUUUGAGACUUCCAGAA